AUUGAACGCUGGCGGCAUGCCUUACACAUGCAAGUCGAACGGUAACAGGUCUUCGGAUGCUGACGAGUGGCGAACGGGUGAGUAAUACAUCGGAACGUUGCCGAUCGUGGGGGAUAACGGAUCGAAAGCUUUGCUAAUACCGCAUACGAUCUACGGAUGAAAGCAGGGGACCGCAAGGCCUUGCGCGGACGGAGCGGCCGAUGGCAGAUUAGGUAGUUGGUGGGAUAAAAGCUUACCAAGCCGACGAUCUGUAGCUGGUCUGAGAGGACGACCAGCCACACUGGGACUGAGACACGGCCCAGACUCCUACGGGAGGCAGCAGUGGGGAAUUUUGGACAAUGGGCGAAAGCCUGAUCCAGCCAUGCCGCGUGCAGGAUGAAGGCCUUCGGGUUGUAAACUGCUUUUGUACGGAACGAAAAGACUCUUUCUAAUCAAGAGGGUACAUGACGGUACCGUACGAAUAAGCACCGGCUAACUACGUG
Molecule: ribosomal RNA, 482 nt
Filed under: uncultured bacterium
Lineage: Bacteria
Description: partial 16S ribosomal RNA
Rfam family: Bacterial small subunit ribosomal RNA
Source: RNAcentral